This 319-nucleotide ribosomal RNA is filed under the name uncultured Pseudomonadota bacterium. RNAcentral's name for it is "bacterial SSU rRNA". It matches the Rfam family "Bacterial small subunit ribosomal RNA", at positions 30 to 351 of the family's 1533-position model. Lineage: Bacteria; Pseudomonadati; Pseudomonadota. The record is from RNAcentral.
AUUGAACGCUGGCGGUAUGCUUAACACAUGCAAGUCGAACGGUAACAGGCCUUCGGGCGCUGACGAGUGGCGGACGGGUGAGUAACGCGUAGGAAUCUGCCUUAUAGUGGGGGACAACGUGGGGAAACCCACGCUAAUACCGCAUACGCCCUACGGGGGAAAGCGGGGGAUCGCAAGACCUCGCGCUAUGAGAUGAGCCUGCGUUAGAUUAGCUAGUUGGUGAGGUAAAGGCUCACCAAGGCGACGAUCUGUAGCGGGUCUGAGAGGAUGAUCCGCCACACUGGAACUGAGACACGGUCCAGACUCCUACGGGAGGCAG